RNAcentral lists this ribosomal RNA (115 nucleotides) under Duodenibacillus sp. The record is from RNAcentral. Lineage: Bacteria; Pseudomonadati; Pseudomonadota; Betaproteobacteria; Burkholderiales; Sutterellaceae.
CCUGACGACCAUACCGAAGUGGUACCACUCCUUCCCAUUCCGAACAGGACAGUGAAACGCUUAAGGGCCGAUGAGAGUUGGUUGUAUUUCCAGUGAAAGUAGGACAUUGUCAGGC